GCCCGAACGUAACACGACACCACGUCCGCCAAAUAACUACGAGUGAAAACUUAAAAUUUAAAGGACUUGACGGUACUUCACACUCAACCUAGAGGAGCCUGUCUACUAACCGAUAAUCCACGAUUAACCCAACCACUUCUAGCCACCCAGCCUAUAUACCACCGUCGCCAGCCUACCUUGUAAAAGAAACACAGUAAGCCAAACAGUAACGCACUAACACGACAGGUCAAGGUGUAACUAAUGAAGCGGAUUAAGAUGGGCUACAUUUUCUAACCCAGACCAUACGAAUCAGGUCAUGAAAUAAGCCUCUGAAGGCGGAUUUAGCAGUAAGCCGAGAACACAAUACUCAACUGAAACUGAUGCAAUGAAGUGCGU
RNAcentral lists this ribosomal RNA (375 nucleotides) under Rhinophis sanguineus. RNAcentral's name for it is "partial 12S ribosomal RNA". It matches the Rfam family "Bacterial small subunit ribosomal RNA", at positions 843 to 1384 of the family's 1533-position model. Lineage: Eukaryota; Metazoa; Chordata; Lepidosauria; Squamata; Uropeltidae. The record is from RNAcentral.